AGAGUUUGAUUAUGGCUCAGGAUGAACGCUGGCGGCGUGCCUAACACAUGCAAGUCGAGCGAUUUCUUAGGAGAAGAGCGGCGGACGGGUGAGUAACGCGUGGGUAACCUGCCUCAUACACAUGGAUAACAUACCGAAAGGUAUGCUAAUACAGGAUAACAUAAGAGAUUCACAUGGAUUUCUUAUCAAAGCUCCGGCGGUAUGAGAUGGACCCGCGUCUGAUUAGCUAGUUGGUAAGGUAACGGCUUACCAAGGCGACGAUCAGUAGCCGGACCUGAGAGGGUGAUCCGGCCACAUUGGAACUGAGACACGGUCCAAACUCCUACGGGAGGCAGCAGUGGGGAAUAUUGCACAAUGGGCGAAAGCCUGAUGCAGCAACGCCGCGUGAGUGAUGAAGGCCUUCGGGUCGUAAAACUUCCUGUCCUCAAGGAAGAUAAUGACGGUACUUGAGGAGGAAGCCCCGGCUAACUACGUGCCAGCCGCUGC
This 486-nucleotide ribosomal RNA is filed under the name uncultured bacterium. RNAcentral's name for it is "bacterial SSU rRNA". It matches the Rfam family "Bacterial small subunit ribosomal RNA", at positions 8 to 518 of the family's 1533-position model. The record is from RNAcentral.